Molecule: ribosomal RNA, 382 nt
Filed under: uncultured bacterium
Lineage: Bacteria
Description: bacterial SSU rRNA
Rfam family: Bacterial small subunit ribosomal RNA
Source: RNAcentral
GAUGAACGCUAGCGGCAGGCUUAACACAUGCAAGUCGAGGGGUAUAGGGAGCAACCCCUUGAGAGUGGCGAACGGGUGAGUAAUAUAUCGGAACGUGCCCAGUCGUGGGGAUAACGUAGCGAAAGUUACGCUAAUACCGCAUACGAUCUAAGGAUGAAAGCGGGGGAUCGCAAGACCUCGCGCGAUUGGAGCGGCCGAUAUCAGAUUAGGUAGUUGGUGAGGUAAAGGCUCACCAAGCCGACGAUCUGUAGCUGGUCUGAGAGGACGACCAGCCACACUGGGACUGAGACACGGCCCAGACUCCUACGGGAGGCAGCAGUGGGGAAUUUUUGGACAAUGGGCGCAAGCCUGAUCCAGCAAUGCCGCGUGCAGGAUGAAGGCC